This 89-nucleotide non-coding RNA is filed under the name Atribacterota. Its description in RNAcentral is "Candidatus Atribacteria c-di-GMP sequence". It matches the Rfam family "c-di-GMP-I riboswitch aptamer". From Rfam's summary of the family: GEMM was predicted in a large-scale screen for bacterial structured RNA regulatory elements. Genes associated with GEMM are involved in a diverse array of functions, including chemotaxis regulation, signal transduction, secretion and chitin. The record is from RNAcentral. Lineage: Bacteria; Pseudomonadati.
UCCCGAUAAUAGCAAAUCAACCGAAAGGUUGAGACGCAAAGUCACAGACCUAAGGCUAUUAAGUUAGCUAAGGUGGCUGAGCUACCGAA